This 1049-nucleotide ribosomal RNA is filed under the name uncultured bacterium. Its description in RNAcentral is "bacterial SSU rRNA". It matches the Rfam family "Bacterial small subunit ribosomal RNA", at positions 426 to 1501 of the family's 1533-position model. The record is from RNAcentral.
UAAACUCCUUUUAUAUAAGAAGAAAAUGACGGUAUUAUAUGAUAGCACGGCUAACUCCGUGCCAGCAGCCGCGUAAUACGGGGGUGCAAGCGUUACUCGGAAUCACUGGGCGUAAAGAGCAUGUAGCGGAUUAAUAAGUUUGAAGUGAAAUCCUAUAGCUUAACUAUAGAACUGCUUUGAAAACUGUUAGUCUAGAAUGUGGGAGAGGUAGAUGGAAUUUCUGGUGUAGGGGUAAAAUCCGUAGAGAUCAGAAGGGAUACCGAUUGCGAAGGCGAUCUACUGGAACAUUAUUGACGCUGAGAUGCGAAAGCGUGGGGAGCAAACAGGAUUAGAUACCCUGGUAGUCCACGCCCUAAACGAUGUACACUAGUUGUUGUGAGACUUGAUCUUGCAGUAAUGCAGUUAACACAUUAAGUGUACCGCCUGGGGAGUACGGUCGCAAGAUUAAAACUCAAAGGAAUAGACGGGGACCCGCACAAGCGGUGGAGCAUGUGGUUUAAUUCGACGAUACACGAAGAACCUUACCUGGACUUGACAUAGUAAGAACUUUCUAGAGAUAGAUUGGUGUCUGCUUGCAGAAACUUAUAUACAGGUGCUGCACGGCUGUCGUCAGCUCGUGUCGUGAGAUGUUGGGUUAAGUCCCGCAACGAGCGCAACCCUCGUCCUUAGUUGCUAACAGUUCGGCUGAGAACUCUAAGGAGACUGCCUACGCAAGUAGGAGGAAGGUGAGGACGACGUCAAGUCAUCAUGGCCCUUACGUCCAGGGCUACACACGUGCUACAAUGGGAUAUACAAUGAGCCGCAAUACGGUGACGUGGAGCAAAUCUUAUAAAAUAUCUCCCAGUUCGGAUUGUAGUCUGCAACUCGACUACAUGAAGUUGGAAUCGCUAGUAAUCGUAGAUCAGCUAUGCUACGGUGAAUACGUUCCCGGGUCUUGUACUCACCGCCCGUCACACCAUGGGAGUUGAACUCAUUCGAAGCGGGGAUGCUAAAGUAGCUACCUUCCACAGUGGAUUCAGCGACUGGGGUGAAGUCGUAACAAGGUAACC